AACGAACGCUUGCGGCGCGCCUAAUACAUGCAAGUCGAACGAGGUAGCAAUACCAAGUGGCGCACGGGUGAGUAACACGUGGAUAAUGUGCCAUUCAGUGGGGAAUAACUGACCGAAAGGUUAGCUAAUACCGCAUGAGACCACAGUCCCUGAGGGGACCGGAGGUUAAAGAUUUAUCGCUGAAUGAUCAGUCUGCGUAAGAUUAGCUAGUUGGUGAGGUAANGGCUCACCAAGGCAACGAUCUUUAAGUGGUCUGAGAGGAUGACCACUCACACUGGAACUGAGACACGGUCCAGACUCCUACGGGAGCAGCAGUAGGGAAUAUUGCACAAGU
This 334-nucleotide ribosomal RNA is filed under the name uncultured bacterium. RNAcentral's name for it is "bacterial SSU rRNA". It matches the Rfam family "Bacterial small subunit ribosomal RNA", at positions 29 to 373 of the family's 1533-position model. The record is from RNAcentral.